RNAcentral lists this ribosomal RNA (483 nucleotides) under uncultured bacterium. RNAcentral's name for it is "bacterial SSU rRNA". It matches the Rfam family "Bacterial small subunit ribosomal RNA", at positions 8 to 507 of the family's 1533-position model. The record is from RNAcentral.
AGAGUUUGAUCAGUGGCUCAGGACGAACGCUGGCGGCGUGCUUAACACAUGCAAGUCGAACGGUAAGGCCCUUCGGGGUACACGAGUGGCGAACGGGUGAGUAACACGUGGGUGAUCUGCCCUGCACUUCGGGAUAAGCCUGGGAAACUGGGUCUAAUACCGGAUAGGACUCCUGGCUUCAUGGUUGGGGGUGUAAAGCCUUUGCGGUGUGGGAUGGGCCCGCGGCCUAUCAGCUUGUUGGUGGGGUAAUGGCCUACCAAGGCGACGACGGGUAGCCGGCCUGAGAGGGUGACCGGCCACACUGGGACUGAGAUACGGCCCAGACUCCUACGGGAGGCAGCAGUGGGGAAUAUUGCACAAUGGGCGCAAGCCUGAUGCAGCGACGCCGCGUGAGGGAUGACGGCCUUCGGGUUGUAAACCUCUUUCAAUAGGGACGAAGCGCAAGUGACGGUACCUAUAGAAGAAGGACCGGCCAACUACGUG